Molecule: long non-coding RNA, 1557 nt
Organism: Mugil cephalus (flathead mullet)
Lineage: Eukaryota; Metazoa; Chordata; Actinopteri; Mugiliformes; Mugilidae
Exons: 4
Source: RefSeq, a predicted model, not a curated record
UCUCCCCUCUCUCUCUCUCUCUCUCUCUCUCAAAGGAGGUCCGGAGAGAGAGGACCAGCCAGUUCUCAGGGCCUGAGGGCAGGUGGUUCUGAUUUGUGCAGGGGGGGAACAGACCACGUUUAUGUUCAGUUAAUAGCGGUACACGUGUCGUCACGUCCAGCGGUGGGAACAUGCUGGCUCCAUCUUGGUGUCACUUCUCGGGCCAUCCAGAAGGCAGAAAAGCCCUUGAACAGCGGCCCGAGUGACACGCAGACCGCAAAAUACAGCGAGAAAAAGGAUGAGGACACCCACACAGCGGUGAUGGAAAGCAGGCCUUGGACAAUACUAAUCCGAGAAACGGAGGGUGAGAGGCCGGACUGGGAGCGUCAGAGCGGCUGGAUUUACGAGCGUGUAAUGAAGCAUCUCUGACGCCGACAGACUAAACAGACAGACUGCGUCGGCCUCGCACACAUGGACGCGUACGCGGGACACGCACCUCCUCAGGUUUGCCCACUUCCCUCUUCCGGCCUUGAGAAGACAUCACUCUGCAAAGAAAAAGAAAAAGAAAAAAAAACAACAGAUACAGCAGAUAAUAGAUGUAACAAAUUCUGUUUUCCCAACUGCUCUUCUUGUCAUGUUAUGAGUGUUAAAUCCAACCUUUUCCUGUCUCGAGUCAGGUGACUUUAGGUACAUGUUUUGUACUAAAUGAUAUGGAAGAUUGGGCCUGGAUGAGGUUCUUCACUCCCCCCUUCUUCAGCUAUGUUUUGACUAGCAUGCCAGCUCUCUGACUACAAGCGAAACGCCGACACCCCUGGAGUGGAUUCUGAGCAUACCAAGGAGGAGAUGCCUUUGAAAGGACAGAUGUUCCUGGGCUUAACCUUCCUCCUACCCAAACCACCACUCUCCUUCCAUUGUAUAUUUGUUCUUGCUCUAUAAAUAACCGACUGGUAUAAGUCACAGAAAAAUGAAACUGAUGCGCCGCUGACCUCCGAGCCCCUCAUCCUUGAGAGGAUUUGUGAGACUGCAGUGUUUGCCCUCUUGCUUCGGCAGCGGGGAUGAAUGGGUGAUUGUUCACUGGCCCUUGUGACGACUCUCGUGGGGCCCAUCAAUUCACUGAGGCUCCUGGAACAUCAGGUCACGGCUAACCAGGCUCUGAAGCUGCAGCCUGGCCUCGCCGUGCCGAUCUCGCCACAGCUAGAGCUCGGGACCUCCAGGGCGCACAGCUGGGUCCCCUAAAAAAGCCCAGCUGAAUGGUUUUAGAAACACUGCAGCUCCUCUUACCCUGCCCUCACUCUCCAUCGAGAAUAGCCCAGAUAUCAGAUACUGUGUUUUUUACUUGAUAUGUUCAUCUCUGCUUGCCAAAACCCCUGGAAACCAUAUUAAAGUCUGCAUUCCAUAUUUUUAACCAACAGGCCUCUACAGUUUAAGAAUUUGUCCAACAUUUCCAUCGCCCCCUUUCCCCUUUUCUUUCUUCUCCUCGCAUUUUUUUCUCCACAGCUCCGUGUCACCCCCGUCUCUUCCCCACAGGCUCGCACACGUCUUCAUUUUCUCUCUCUUUUUUUUUUUUUUUUUUUUUUC